UACGUAGGGUGCGAGCGUUAAUCGGAAUUACUGGGCGUAAAGCGUGCGCAGGCGGUUUUGUAAGCCAGAUGUGAAAUCCCCGGGCUCAACCUGGGAACUGCAUUUGUGACUGCAUCGCUGGAGUGCGGCAGAGGGGGAUGGAAUUCUGCGUGUAGCAGUGAAAUGCGUAGAUAUGCGGAGGAACACCGAUGGCGAAGGCAAUCCCCUGGGCCUGCACUGACGCUCAUGCACGAAAGCGUGGGGAGCAAACAGG
Molecule: ribosomal RNA, 253 nt
Filed under: uncultured bacterium
Lineage: Bacteria
Description: partial 16S ribosomal RNA
Rfam family: Bacterial small subunit ribosomal RNA
Source: RNAcentral